GUGAUAGGCCUGCUGGAGAAAUGGGAUAUGUAGCACCAGAGGCACUUGCCUGCAUGCGUAAGAAAGGCGAAUUUGACCAUAAGGCUGAUGUGUGGUCUUUGGGAAUAUCAGCCAUUCACAUGGCAGAAGGAUGUGUCCCAAACAACGAACUUCCUGACAAGGCUUUGAUCAAACAAAUUAUUUGUGGUGCCG
Xenopus laevis (African clawed frog) is the source of this 192-nucleotide long non-coding RNA. RefSeq lists it as uncharacterized. NCBI's taxonomy places the organism in Eukaryota, Metazoa, Chordata, Amphibia, Anura, Pipidae. The record is from RefSeq and is a predicted model, not a curated record. The transcript is spliced from 3 exons.